Molecule: long non-coding RNA, 710 nt
Filed under: Parus major (Great Tit)
Lineage: Eukaryota; Metazoa; Chordata; Aves; Passeriformes; Paridae
Description: lncRNA (ENSPMJG00000011311.1)
Source: RNAcentral
UGAAGCUUGAGUUGAUUAGCAGUUAAUGAUGUGUGUCCUGAGGAAAAAGUAAGAUUAAAUAUUCUGCAUGUAUUGAGCAGGGCAUUUUACGCUUGAGAUUUAUAGCUGUUUUGUUAGUAUUUCAUGAAGUGUUUAGGUCUGUUCAACUCUGGGUUGCACAGCCGCUCAGUAUUUUGAACACUCAUUUUAUGCAGAUAUAACUUAAACAACUUACGCUGUAUGAAAGUCCGUAGUGCAUGUGCUGUAGCUGCACAUUAACUCUCGAGGAAUGCUAUUGAAGAACAGACACACGGGAGUAACUUCUUCAGCAACCCACAGAUCUGUGCUGAAGUGCUGCUGCCUCACCCCAGGGCCAUCCCAGACCCAGAACCAGCUGCCUUGAGCACUGCACCUUCCAGUCUGGGAAGAAUGCUGUAGGGAAGCUUGUCCUCUUUGCUUAUUUCCUUAGCCCUUGCCACUCUCUAUUGACUCGUCUCAGCUGGAGUUGCCUUACACUCAGUUUUGAGCACAGUUCUGCACUUUCCCUGUGUUGUAUUUCUGAGUUUUGUUACCCAUUUGUGGCCUCUACCUUUCAGGUGCAUCCAACGCAAUUGCCUUGGUGUCAUUCCACAGCAUUUCUGUCCUUGGCCCUUCAAAUGUGGAACAACUUCCCCACAGGUGGCUACUAUGCUCUAAUACUCAAAGAAACAGGAUGCAUUGUAUGUAUGUGA